AACGAACGCUGGCGGCAUGCCUAACACAUGCAAGUCGAACGAGACCUUCGGGUCUAGUGGCGCACGGGUGCGUAACGCGUGGGAACCUGCCCUUAGGUUCGGAAUAACUCCCCGAAAGGGGUGCUAAUACCGGAUAAUGUCUUCGGACCAAAGAUUUAUCGCCUUUGGAUGGGCCCGCGUUGGAUUAGCUAGUUGGUAGGGUAAAAGCCUACCAAGGCGACGAUCCAUAGCUGGUCUGAGAGGAUGAUCAGCCACACUGGGACUGAGACACGGCCCAGACUCCGACGGGAGGCAGCAGUGGGGAAUAUUGGACAAGGGGCGAAAGCCUGAUCCAGCAAUGCCGCGUGAGUGAGGAAGGCCUUAGGGUUGUAAAGCUCUUUUACCCGGGAUGAUAAUGACAGUACCGGGAGAAUAAGCUCCGGCUAACUCCGUG
Molecule: ribosomal RNA, 433 nt
Filed under: uncultured bacterium
Lineage: Bacteria
Description: partial 16S ribosomal RNA
Rfam family: Bacterial small subunit ribosomal RNA
Source: RNAcentral